GUUAGGAAUUGAAAGAAAGGAAGACAGAGAAUCACCGUGACUCAGGGGAGAAGGAUGGGACAUAAGAGCUGCAGGAGAGAAAGCUGAUCGGCCAUGUAAGAAUUUGGCUCCAAGGAGUCAGCACUUCUGUUAUCUCUAUUUCCUGUCAAGAAAACCAGAGCUUGAAAGGAUUUGCCCAUGGCUUCUAGGUAGGAAUACCCACGCUGACAGCAAAACCCAUGCUGGCUUGCCCGCAGGCUGGCAGAUCUCAGCAUCAUGCCAUAAACGACAGAAGACCCAUAAAGCUCUGAUACAUCUAUAUUUAACAUGAACUACAAAUAAUGAGAGACUUAUGGUGGUCCACAGAUAGAAACUUACUAUGGUAGCAGCAUGCAGCUGUUAGGUUUAACUUAGCACAUUCAACAAAGUGGAAAUCAAGGAAAACAUUUCCCAUCACGGUUGAUCACCGUUGGACUUUGAAGGGCUGUACGUCUUAGCUAUGCUUCUAGACAAAUAAAGGAUCCUCCUAUGGCUGGAUAGUCACUUUGCACUGCUGUUAUAAAAACACUAUUACCAAGGCGACUUAUAGAAAGAAGAUGGCUUAAGUUUCCCGGGGAAAGUCUGUAACAUCAGAAAGGCAUGGCUGUAGUCAUCUAGAACCACACACAAACUCAGAGAGAAACUACAUGUCGGGCAAGGUCAUAAGCUGUCAAAGCUCUCCCCACCAAGGGACGUGCUUCCUCCAGCAAUGCUGAACCUCCCCAGACACCACCACCAACUGGAGAUCAAGUGUUCAAAUAUCUGAGCUUUGCGGGGACAUUUCUCAUUUGAAACCCCCUCCCCAGAAGAGUCAUUCAGGAUGCCUUACAGUUUACAGGACAUGCUGUAAUCAAAGUAACUAUUAAAUGUUCCCAAGAUUUCUGAGACUUGCAAAGGACAUUUAAUAAAUAAAAAAAUGUACAGUGAAAUAAAAAAACAAUUAAGAAAAACACAUUGCAUUUGUAGGGAUCUCUCAGUUCAAGAAGAACUGAAUCUCCCGUCAGUCAGCUUCGUGUGAAGAUAACUAGAGGCUUCUGGGUUGACAUGAGAGGAUUUUAACAACCUUCCGAUUGCUAAAGAGUUUGACAUGACUUUAUGUCCAGGUCAUGAUGGCAUUUUAAUAGCAGCACAAGGUUUUCAAACAGGAGACACUGAAGGGCAGUUGCUCUCCUUUGGCACUAGAGGCCAGUCUGCAGCUAAUUAGCAGGUCAUAGGUGGAAGUGGACUGUGGCAGAACAACAAAACAUUGUUGUUAUCAGUUCACUGAACAGAUGGAAGAAAGGCAUUUCAAGUCAAGCCAAAUGGAGCUGAAGGUGACACAGUAUCAAAAUUAGACUGAAACUGGUGCAGAUGCACUGGAACCCAGGUCUGCUUUAAUUAUCCUUUUCUGUUCGCAUCUUAUUCUAUUCAUACAAUUUCCCUUUAGUAAAUUUAACCCUGCUCAAAGAAAUAUGUUAGCUGUUAGAUAUGACAUGAUUUAGCCAAAUACUUUGGACUUUGGUUGUCAUAGCAAAUAAAUUUUCCUGUGGCAAUUAAACUAUAGGGUGCAAAGCACAUUGGAGGAAUCUCAGAGAUUGUGAUUGGCCCAGAUUAAACUCAUCUUUUCCACACACA
Molecule: long non-coding RNA, 1632 nt
Filed under: Mus musculus (house mouse)
Lineage: Eukaryota; Metazoa; Chordata; Mammalia; Rodentia; Muridae
Description: predicted gene, 32085
Source: RNAcentral